AAUAUUGGACAAUGGGCGAAAGCCUGAUCCAGCCAUCCCGCGUGUAUGAUGAAGGCCUUCGGGUUGUAAAGUACUUUUGGCAGAGAAGAAAAGGUACCUCCUACUACGAGGUACUGCUGACGGUAUCUGCAUAAUAAGCACCGGCUAACUACGUGCCAGAAGCCGAGGUAAUACGUAGGGUGCAAGCGUUAAUCGGAAUUAAUGGGCGUAAAGCGUGUGUAGGCGGUUCGGAAAGAAAGAUGUGACAUCCCAGGGCUCCACAUUGGAACUGCAUUUUUAACUGCCGAGCUAGAGUAUGUCAGAGGGGGGUAGAAUUCCACGUGUAGCAGUGAAAUGCGUAGAUAUGUGGAGGAAUACCGAUGGCGAAGGCAGCCCCCUGGGAUAAUACUGACGCUCAGACACGAAAGCGUGGGGAGCAAACAG
RNAcentral lists this ribosomal RNA (423 nucleotides) under uncultured bacterium. RNAcentral's name for it is "partial 16S ribosomal RNA". It matches the Rfam family "Bacterial small subunit ribosomal RNA", at positions 360 to 775 of the family's 1533-position model. The record is from RNAcentral.